Molecule: ribosomal RNA, 253 nt
Filed under: uncultured bacterium
Lineage: Bacteria
Description: partial 16S ribosomal RNA
Rfam family: Bacterial small subunit ribosomal RNA
Source: RNAcentral
UACGUAGGGCGCAAGCGUUGUCCGGAAUUAUUGGGCGUAAAGAGCUCGUAGGCGGCUUGUCAAGUCGGUUGUGAAAGCCCGGGGCUUAACCCCGGGUCUGCAGUCGAUACGGGCAGGCUAGAGUGUGGUAGGGGAGAUCGGAAUUCCUGGUGUAGCGGUGAAAUGCGCAGAUAUCAGGAGGAACACCGGUGGCGAAGGCGGAUCUCUGGGCCAUUACUGACGCUGAGGAGCGAAAGCGUGGGGAGCGAACAGG